Molecule: ribosomal RNA, 484 nt
Filed under: uncultured bacterium
Lineage: Bacteria
Description: partial 16S ribosomal RNA
Rfam family: Bacterial small subunit ribosomal RNA
Source: RNAcentral
AUUGAACGCUGGCGGCAGGCCUAACACAUGCAAGUCGAGCGGAUGAAGGGAGCUUGCUCCUGGAUUCAGCGGCGGACGGGUGAGUAAUGCCUAGGAAUCUGCCUGGUAGUGGGGGAUAACGUCCGGAAAUGGGCGCUAAUACCGCAUACGUCCUGAGGGAGAAAGUGGGGGAUCUUCGGACCUUACGCUAUCAGAUGAUCCUAGGUCGGAUUAGCUAGUUGGUGGGGUAAAGGCCUACCAAGGCGACGAUCCGUAACUGGUCUGAGAGGAUGAUCAGUCACACUGGAACUGAGACACGGUCCAGACUCCUACGGGAGGCAGCAGUGGGGAAUAUUGGACAAUGGGCGAAAGCCUGAUCCAGCCAUGCCGCGUGUGUGAAAAAGGUCUUCGGAUUGUAAAGCACUUUAGGUUGGGAGGAAGGGCAGUAAGUUAAUACCUUGCUGUUUUGACGUUACCAACAGAAUAAGCACCGGCUAACUUCGUG